RNAcentral lists this ribosomal RNA (873 nucleotides) under Aspergillus amstelodami. Its description in RNAcentral is "LSU rRNA". It matches the Rfam family "Eukaryotic large subunit ribosomal RNA", at positions 74 to 963 of the family's 3401-position model. Lineage: Eukaryota; Fungi; Ascomycota; Eurotiomycetes; Eurotiales; Aspergillaceae. The record is from RNAcentral.
AUUGCCUCAGUAACGGCGAGUGAAGCGGCAAGAGCUCAAAUUUGAAAUCUGGCCCCUCCGGGGUCCGAGUUGUAAUUUGUAGAGGAUGCUUCGGGUGCGGCCCCCGUCUAAGUGCUCUGGAACGGGCCAUCGGAGAGGGUGAGAAUCCCGUCUGGGACGGGGUGUCCGCGUCCAUGUGAAGCUCCUUCGACGAGUCGAGUUGUUUGGGAAUGCAGCUCUAAAUGGGUGGUAAAUUUCAUCUAAAGCUAAAUACUGGCCGGAGACCGAUAGCGCACAAGUAGAGUGAUCGAAAGAUGAAAAGCACUUUGAAAAGAGAGUUAAACAGCACGUGAAAUUGUUGAAAGGGAAGCGCUUGCGACCAGACUCGCUUCCGGGGUUCAGCCGGCUUUCGGGCCGGUGUACUUCCCCGGGGGCGGGCCAGCGUCGGUUUGGGCGGCCGGUCAAAGGCCCCUGGAAUGUAACGCCUCUCGGGGCGCCUUAUAGCCGGGGGUGUCAUGCGGCCAGCCUGGACCGAGGAACGCGCUUCGGCACGGACGCUGGCAUAAUGGUCGUAAACGACCCGUCUUGAAACACGGACCAAGGAGUCUAACAUCUACGCGAGUGUUCGGGUGUCAAACCCGUGCGCGCAGUGAAAGCGAACGGAGGUGGGAGCCCCCUCGCGGGGCGCACCAUCGACCGAUCCUGAUGUCUUCGGAUGGAUUUGAGUAAGAGCGUAGCUGUGGGGACCCGAAAGAUGGUGAACUAUGCCUGAAUAGGGCGAAGCCGGAGGAAACUCUGGUGGAGGCUCGCAGCGGUUCUGACGUGCAAAUCGAUCGUCAAAUUUGGGUAUAGGGGCGAAAGACUAAUCGAUCCUCUGGUAGCUGGCUCCCUGCC